AGCUCCAAUAGCGUAUAUUAAAGUUGUUGCAGUUAAAAAGCUCGUAGUUGGAUUUCGGAGUGGGCCCGUUGGUCCGCCGCAAGGUGUGUUACUGACUGGUCUGCUCUUCUUCGCAAAGACUGCGUGUGCUCUUUGUUGAGUGUGCGUAGGAUUUACGACGUUUACUUUGAAAAAAUUAGAGUGUUCAAAGCAGGCUAUUGCUUGAAUACAUGAGCAUGGAAUAAUGGAAUAGGACUUUGGUCCCAUUUUGUUGGUUUCUAGGACCGAAGUAAUGAUUAAGAGGGACAAUUGGGGGCAUCCGUAUUUCGUUGUCAGAGGUGAAAUUCUUGGACCGUUUGAAGACGAACUAAGGCGAAAGCAUUUGCCAAGAAUGUUUUCA
Molecule: ribosomal RNA, 379 nt
Filed under: marine Metazoa environmental sample
Lineage: Eukaryota; Metazoa
Description: SSU rRNA
Rfam family: Eukaryotic small subunit ribosomal RNA
Source: RNAcentral